Ochotona princeps (American pika) is the source of this 1717-nucleotide long non-coding RNA. RefSeq lists it as uncharacterized. NCBI's taxonomy places the organism in Eukaryota, Metazoa, Chordata, Mammalia, Lagomorpha, Ochotonidae. The transcript is spliced from 2 exons. The record is from RefSeq and is a predicted model, not a curated record.
CCCGGGUCCUGGGUUAAACCUGCUUGGGACCCCCAAAACCAUAGUAAUUGAUGACAACUGGCUUCUCUUUCUUGAAUCUCCUUAAUAUUUAUCGCCUCGUUUACUCUCUACUUCCACCUCCCUUGAAGAGUUCAACAGACUGAAAAAUCUUGAAGAAUUAGAAACCUGUUUGGUUAAAAUCACAAAUUCAGGAGAAAUUCAGUCAUGGUGCAAGUUCCUAUUGCUUUUGAAGUGCAAACCAUGGGAAGUUCGGGUUUGUUUCAAGAUGAAUUAAACUGCAAAUGAGCUUCACACUAUUCUAGAACAUAAUAUUAUUGUCUGUUUGGAAUUUGUUACUCAUAGGUUUUGCUGAAUGUUUUUUUAAUAUAAGAAAAACAAAUUUUAUUUUAGAAGUAUGGACUUGUGGAGAUAGUGUUUUAAAUAUUUGAAUUUUAUUCUUUUGACAUGAAACUAUAGAACACUCAUAUAUCUGUACUGUGUUAGUAUUCCUACUAGAGAAAACAGUAUGUAAAAGCAGUACCUUUAAACCUUGUUACAAGUAUCAGAUAGAUGUUCUUAAAAAGUUGGUAUUGAUAACCUGUAACUAAUAAAUGUGCUGACUGAAAUGUUAUAAUCUCACAUUUUAAGAGUCUUCUACAGUUACAAAUCCAUGUACUCAGGUUUUCCAAAGGCUUCAAAAAUCAGAGAAGCAGAAUGUCCAAGAGGCAAAGGAUAAAUAUCAGAAAUAUAUAUUAGUUAAAUAUCUACUUAAAGCCAUAAUCUGUUAAUACAGCUAUGGAUUUAUUUUUAAAAAUGUGUCUAAUAGUAUAGUUGUGUUUUCACUGUUGAUAAAGUUAUUAAAGUUCUUCACUUUCAUAGAGUCCAGAUUGAGCUGCCAGACGCUGAAAUUCUCCUUCAGGGUUAAAAGCUUGUUUUACAUCCAAGCCUCUCCCAUUAAGUGCUAAAUAUUUGCUGAAUGUUGGUCGAACACGUAACUUAGGAGCUGGAACAGUUUGAUUUGGACGAGCUGAAACAGAUCAAAUAAAAGUUAAUUCACAAAACCUAAACAAAUUGAUUACACUAGGUAUUAAUCAUCAUACAGGAAAAGAUAAAGAAACUGAUGAUGUACAGGGGAAAUCCCUCAGAUUUUACACUAUGCUGAGAUUUAUGUUUUUUAUUAAGUCUUAGCUAAAUUCUUUAGAAUACUUACAUACCUGUAACAUCUAACCUUGUGUUACAUGUGGUUACUCCGGCUUCAUUAACUGCAGAUACAGUGUACCACCCAGCGUCUUUCUUGUUUACAUCUUUUAUCAGUAAUGUAACUCUUCCAGCAUUGUCAUGAUAUAAGCUGAAAAGAAACAUUAAAAGAAAAGUGUAGGGACUCAUUUUCGUGCAUUUCAGUGAUGUCUCUGAUUUACAGAGUUACACUAAUUAGAAGAGAAAGGAGCAUUUGAAAGUUCUGUGGCUCUACUGAGUUGUUGUCAAAUAGCUGUUGGCUUUUUAAAAUAUCUUCCCUUUAUUUCACAACAUUUACUUCCUGGAGCCACCUUUCUUUGUUGUUUAGUGAAAAGGUAAUUCCCAAGGCUUUAAUAUUGCCUUAGAUUUCUGAUUAGUGAAUUCUGAUUUAAUGAAGUUUUAUUAUGCUCUGUAUAUGGUUAAAAACUACACAGAUAUAAUGACUUUAUGAUUCACAAUAUAUGUCAAAGUGUAACUGGAUUCUUCUAGGUAAGCCUAAAAA